Molecule: long non-coding RNA, 2011 nt
Organism: Pseudomyrmex gracilis
Lineage: Eukaryota; Metazoa; Arthropoda; Insecta; Hymenoptera; Formicidae
Exons: 6
Source: RefSeq, a predicted model, not a curated record
AGCAUUGCACGUGACAAAAGUUUAGUCGUAAUCGCAAGGUCGUAAGUAAAUCAACCAAUUACAGGCCAAUAUUCUAGCUAAUACUGGUCUGUAGUUGGUUAAAUUGUUUACGACUUUACGGUUACGAUUAAAACUUUUUCAUGUGCAAGAGUAUCAAUCCACCAUCAUCUUAUCUUUUGCUACCUGUUGCCGCGUGGUUGCCGCCGUGUGANACGUAUUUUGACUCCGUGCGCCAGUAAUUUGCUGUGUCUUGUUUAUUCUGGAUGGAUUAGCUUUCGGGAUGGCUCUGUUGAAGAUAAGGGNUAUCUUCCUUUUUAACUUUUGAAGAUCUGGAGAGCCUCAAUAUUGUUAACCUCAAUUUUUGUGUGGCCAUUUGAUGAUAUGCUUGUGAUUUGCAUUGAAAAUUGAUUCGAAACUGGAUACACGCUACCUCAGUUAAAGAGAUCAAUAGGCGUCUUUGAAAUGAAGAAGUCAGGCAGGCCAUUUUAGCUGUUGAUGCUGAAGAACAUGCAGAGAAUGAGAGAGUUGAUGUUAAACUUGAGCAAGCAGUGGAUGAUGUGGUUCACGCCAACAAUGAUAAAAACAUUAAUGACAAACAGAAAGACUAUGAUCAGAAUUAUGUGAUCAUGGUGCAUUUCCAUCACAAGCAAGCAGUUCUAAAGCUUCAAAGAAAUUGCAUGAUAACCCUGGUGUUCAUGAAUCAGUAAAAGAGAUAGUAUGUGAAAGUCAGUCAUGUCAGUUCAUGCCCGAGCAGAAGACAUCUGAUUCUUUAAAAGACACAGAAACGACUAGCAAAAGUCUUGUAAACCAAAUGCAUCUUAAUCUCCUUUAAGAGCUUCAUAGAAAAGUGGAUUGGCUUAGUAUCAAUAUGAGCCGAAUAUUAGACGAGCUUUUCCCUGAUGAGUCUAGGUUUGACCGUCCACAAGGAUUUCCUUCUUUACCUUUAAACACAGAGAAUGAUUUGGCAGAAUUUGAAUCUUAUUUAAAGAAUGAACCAAUUUUCAAUAAUAUGAUAAAGUAUCUUGGAAAAAAGGGAAAGGGCGAGCCUCAUCUUUUACGUACUCCAUUCUGGCCGUCCUCAUCUUNAACCAACUUGCUCGCAUAAUAAGCUGGAAGGGCACAGGUGGAGUCAAGCUUAGCUUUGAAAAAUCAACAACUAAGAAACUGGUAGAAUGUAUACAUGUAUGCUUAAAGAAGUUUGGUUAGCUGCUAGUUUAUGUUUUUGAAGAUAAGAUGAAAAGAUGGUUUAACAUCUCAAUGCAACGUUCUUAAAAUUUUGAUUUUAAAUGUGAUUUUUUGUGUAAAGCUGUGGUUUUUUGUUUGAAUUUUUUUAGUGCUUCAAGUUAUUAAUGCUUUUAAAGCAUGAAUAACUUCAAGAUAAAAAGGCUAUGUAUUAAAAUUUUAAGUUUUAAUUAAUGUAAAAUUUUAAGACUUAUACACAUGCUUGUGUUAAGUUGAUCUCUAAAAUCAACUUUACACAAUUGUGUACUUUACACAAAUUAGCGCCUUUAUAUGACAUUGUUCUGCAUUAUUCUUUCAUAUUUGCUUGUAUUCUACAUAUGUUUAGUACUUCUCUGUUCUAAGGACAAUUCAUUUCAUAGAGCUAAAAAUAAUCUUUGACUUUGUUUUUAUUUUUUGAUUAUGUGCAAUUUAUGUGUUCUGUUUUCAACAACUGUAGUGUCAUGAGAAACAAACUGAUCCAAAGUGAUAGUAUUAAUAACUAUUAAUAAAGUGAGAAGGUUGUGUAACGUUAUCAUGAUCUCUCUUAGCUUUUUACGUUAAGUUUUGGUAACAAAAAAGUUUCAGUUUUAUUAAGAUAAUGUUAAAAAUAUACCUUACACAUAUGCGUCUAUAUAAUUGUUCGUUACAUGUUUCAUUUGUUGCCUUUGUUCUAAUUAGCUUGAAGUUAUAAAANAUUAAUGUCAGAUGUAAAUUACAUCACACAUGUUAUUUAUAUUUAUGUACCUUUAUUUUGAUACUAAUGUUUUAAUAAACAGACUCUUGAAUAACA